Molecule: long non-coding RNA, 625 nt
Organism: Drosophila montana
Lineage: Eukaryota; Metazoa; Arthropoda; Insecta; Diptera; Drosophilidae
Exons: 3
Source: RefSeq, a predicted model, not a curated record
GUGUGUGUCAACAAAGGAUUUUGCAAGGCUGGCAGCGGUCAUUGUUGUUAUGGCUGUUGUGAUUGUUGUUGCCUGCUUUUGUUGUGGUGUCACAGCAGCCGACACUUUGCAUGUUCAAUGCGAGCUGCGAGAAGCUGGGCAACAGAAGCAGAAACAGCAACAGAAACAGCAACCGGAAACCGGAAAGGGCUUUACGGAUAUGUACGUGAGCUAAAUGUAACUGCUACGGAUAUCUGCUUCAGAGGCGCCAUCAAAACUGUAAAGCCAACUUUUCAACUAAUGAUGAUGACGACGAUGAUAAAGAUGAUGUUGAUGUUGAUGAUGAUGAUGAUGAUGAUGAUGAUGAUGUUGAUGUUGAUAAGUAAACAAUGCCCCACAAUCUAAAAUGUUGCUAACACCCUCGAAGCCGUCUCAGUUACUGCUUGAUUGUUGUUGUUGACUGAAGGCCCAAAUAAAUAAACCCCGUAUACAAUCUGCCCAGAGAUCUGGGCGCAUUAUGUGAGAGUGAGCCAUUAAAACAAUAACAAAGGCGUUAUCAAAAAUCAAUUAAAUAAUCAUUAGACAAGCGAAAUAACCUGGCAGCGAAUCAAUUUUAGUUAACAAUUUUAACAUUUGGUGUCACAUU